This 73-nucleotide transfer RNA is filed under the name Ictidomys tridecemlineatus (thirteen-lined ground squirrel). RNAcentral describes it as "Spermophilus tridecemlineatus (thirteen-lined ground squirrel) tRNA". It matches the Rfam family "tRNA". From Rfam's summary of the family: Transfer RNA (tRNA) molecules are approximately 80 nucleotides in length. Their secondary structure includes four short double-helical elements and three loops (D, anti-codon, and T loops). Further hydrogen bonds mediate the characteristic L-shaped molecular structure. tRNAs have two regions of fundamental functional importance: the anti-codon, which is responsible for specific mRNA codon recognition, and the 3' end, to which the tRNAs corresponding amino acid is attached (by aminoacyl-tRNA synthetases). tRNAs cope with the degeneracy of the genetic code in two manners: having more than one tRNA (with a specific anti-codon) for a particular amino acid; and 'wobble' base-pairing, i.e. permitting non-standard base-pairing at the 3rd anti-codon position. Lineage: Eukaryota; Metazoa; Chordata; Mammalia; Rodentia; Sciuridae. The record is from Rfam by way of RNAcentral.
GGGAAUAUAGCUCAGUUGGUAGAGUGCCUACCUCACAUGCACACGGCCCUGGGUUCAAUCCCCAGUACCUCCA